GAAAUGUCUCAAUCGAGACCAUUUUCAAAUUCUACGCUAAAUUUCGGGCAAAUUGGCAGCAUUUUGCAAGCUAUUCCCAUUUUGUGUUUUUUUUAGGAAGAUAUUAGUUUGUGGAAAGGUUUCAAAAACCACAGAUUUUGAAAGGUUAGGGUUUGAACCAUUGUCUAUUGUCGUUAGUCUGCGGGAGGUGUAAAUGCCUUUGUCAAUCGUUGUUGCGCCUGUGUUUUAUGCAAAUGUCCCUUUUGUUUUUUCUCUUGAUUGUUAUCCAAUUUCCGGCAGUACGAAUUUCGUACAACCCAGACCGUGACACUUAGAAAAUUUUUCUCAAAACGCAGCCUCCAAACGCUGAAAUGACACGUGAUUUGCGGAACAAUCUGUCAACGCGUUUCUCAUAACUAUUUGCAUUUCGAAACUUGGCUCAGGCGCAUUUAUUAAUGUGAUCUUCUACUGUUAUGAAAAGAGGGAGUGUUAAACAAAAUAGCUCACAAAAUCAAAGCAAACGAUUUGGAAAUGGCUUUCUUUUGCAAAAUUAAGCAGAGGCUUUGUGACCAUAAUCAUAAUAAUGCUGAGGUGGUUAGGUACACUACAUAACCAUGCAAAAUUGUUUAUGUAACUCAAAAAACCUUUUCGUUGACGAUCUAGCUAUUGAUAAAAUUUGCAAUUUCUAAUUUAUUUCUUUAGAAAUGAGUCAUUUAAGUUUACCUUGGAAUACAAACUAAACUAAAAGAUAACGAUCAUUUUGAUAUCAAUUCAGCUCCCAUAAUCUUUGUUCAUGCUAAGUGCGCAAUUAAACUUGUUUCUGCAUACAAAAAGCAUGAAAUGCUGCCAAGGAUAUGCUACGGCAUGCCCAUUUCAAUCUACUAAUUACGUUUUCUGCUUUGGUAUAUAGAAUUGGUGACAGAGAAUAAUACACCGUAAAUUGAUAUGCCUAGAAAGCAUGCAAAUGUGUUGGAUAUGUUGAUAAACUGCUGGUCAGAAAAGUAAAUAGAGCUUUCCGCAAAUCAAUCAAUUAACCUUACUUAAUGAAAAAUGACACAGGCAAUAAUACAAACAUGCAUAUAAAGAUUGAAAAAAGGCAAAGGCAAGUGAUUAUGUUGACAACCUUGGAUCAGAAAGAUAAAAUAUUGUUACAAGUAAUGUUAAAUAAUUUCUAAAAUACGACUAGCUAAAACACGAAAUUAGCAAUGUCUUAGCUUUCUAAAAUAAUGUAAUUAUUAACGUUCGUUAAACCUUGUGAAAUUUAUAAAGGGGUAUCUUCUGCUUCUGUUUCUGUGUCAUUAUCGUCCUCUCCCAAAAAAGUCAAUGUUUUAGAAGUGAGGUGGUCAGCGGCCCUUUUUAUUUUUCUUGCUGAAUCAUCUGUGUUGUAGCGAAGGCGCUGAACUCGUGGUGAGUGGCUCAUGAGUCUUGCAACUGAAUUUCUUACUUCGUCCUCCUUCUCGUUGCACAUUAGCCAGUUUACGAGCGCUUUUCAGAGGGUCGUAGUUGUGAACUUCAAGCCCCCAUUGUGUCGCUGAAACGCCUUUUCGAUGUAAACAGUAAACGACUCAGAUGUGUCAAAUGGUUGCCCCUUGCCCUUCAUUAGAAGAAAAUCAUGUCUCUUACUCAACAUAAGCUUCUCCCUCUCCUCCUCAACAUAUUUACGUAGAUGUUGGUUGACAUAAUCGUAACUGGAGAUGUCCACUCUAUUGCACCCGUAUUUUUUCUUCGUUUUAAAAUCAUUUACAACCAUUGUAGUGCUGCCAUUUUCCUUAAAUAAAAUGUAGUUUUCUGAAACACUUCCCUGUUCCUCGUCAAAUAGUAUUUUUAGUUUCAUCAAAUCUGCAUUCCUUGAUGGGCUCACUGUGGUGAACAAUAAAAGUAUUACAAAAUCAUGGUAUAACCUUGCCUUUUGAUACCCAUCCAUCUCUUUCGACGAAAUUAUCCUGUCCCUCAUCAAUUUUAAUGUUUCUAAAACCUGUUUCCAUUCAAAGUUCUUUCUUUCAUCGGCUUCCGGGUACCUUUGUCUCCGCUCUCUCUCAUAGAGGCUCUAAAAAAACAGUGGUAAAUUUAAACUAAAAAUAUCAAAAAGCGAUGUGUAAAAUGUAUGUGUAAAUAGAAAGGAACGCAGGAUAUGCUGUCCGCUGAUUAAAAUAGGAAUAAUAGCCGCUAACUAAGCCACAGGACGGUGAAAAUCCAAUGUAGUCAAAAAGAAUUUCAAAAAAAAUUGAAUAUACUAAAUGACUCUACUUCGGCUGGCUUCAUCAACCAUUCUUGACAGUAGAAUUUAGGCAGCCAGAAUUUAAUGUUAUGAUAUAGAAUGAAAUGCAACUCAAGUUCCUAUUGUAGAAUUUCUAAUGAAAAGCGAAAAUAUAUAUAGCUAAGGUGAACUGGAAUACUCACUUGCAGUUGGGCCUGCAUGUGCCUCAAUUGUGUUAUUUCUGCAAUUUCAUGCCAACUUUUUGUUAGGCCCUCUUUUUUCAGAAUAUAUUUUGCUGCCACUAUCAGGCUUUGAAUAUGGUUGGCAACUGUACCCACGUUUAGCUCCCUCCUCAAUUCCGCCACAUAUGCCCUAACAAAGUUGAUGUUUGUAACAUCCUCCAUUUGUGGGGGUCUGUUAUAUGUCUCUUCUACAUGUUCAAAGAACUUCUUUAACCUUCUUGUGUGGCGUUCGAUUGUCCCUGCUGUCAUACCGUUUGAUGGUCUUAACGGGUUUAUUUCAUCCGUGUAGAAUUCCUGGAGCUUUUCGAAAAAUACUUCAAAUGAAGACACUCCAUCCUGCAUGCUUGAAGCUGCUUCGUAACUUGUACCCGCCUCCACAUUGGCGACUGCUGCUUGUGGUAGUUGAAGCACACUCUGCUUCUGUAGCAGCAAAUGAAGACUGUCUAAUGGGAUGACGUAAUGCCCACCUUUACGUGGUCCAAAUUUCUCUUCGAGCUUCAAGCGCAGGAUCCCCUCAGGUUUCUUGCAAUUUAUCUUCAAUCUGUGCAUUCUGCUGCGGAGAGUCGAGCUUUGUAUAUUUUUUGAGAACUCAGCCUUCACUUGAUCCAUGCUUAUCCACAAUGUUCCAUUUGAUUCAAAUGCCAACCAUCUUUUCUCUUGGCCUUCGGUUUAGAGGUAAUAUUCAUUAACGUUUAGAAUUUACAAAACAAAGAUAACCUCAGACAUCUUGAAGUACAGAGUCACAGAAUGUCUAACUCCAAUGCAAUACUUUGUGAGCUUUUCAAGGAGAUUCACAGUUUUCAUAAGUCGUAGACUCUGUCAAUUGGUAAUAAACGAUUACAGACAUUGAUGCUAAAGGCCUUAACAAUUUAGUUGAAACAUUUUAAGAGACAUUACCAAAGAAUUAAAGAAUCACCCUUUGAAGUUAUUAAGCUACGCCUAGUAAUAGUGUAAUAAUUACGAAUGCUUCAAAAAGGAAGAUAAUCUGAUCUAAUAAAUAGCAGCGCCUGGAUAACGUGUGACAGGAAAAUUGUAUGUCCUAAAUUUUUACAGCAAAAGAUUGACGGAAAAAGCAUACAGAUAAUUAAUUUUAUCAUACCAAAGAUCUAUCUGGUUUGCUACGGUUUCUCAUUCAUUCAAUAUUAGUUUUGACAGAACACAGGAACUAUGUGUCCUAGUAAUGACAGAAGACGAUAUUAUUUUACCUUCAACAUCAACAAGUUGCUCUUUCACAGUAGUCUCGGGUUGCUCUGUCUUCAAUUUUUCUCCAUCAACCAUACCCCCACUGGAACCUAGAACAAGAAUAUAGACCAUUAGAUAUAGCCUUGUUACCUGAGACUAAAAUGAUGAAUAUAUGUAUAAUUCGAGCCGAUUAGAGCAAAAACCUUACUUACGUCUUACAGAAGAUCGCUUCAUCUUUAAUGUAUCGUGUAAAGACUGAUGCCAACUGAUUUUUUUCAGGUACCGAGAAUGGUUAUAUAGAGAAGAGAGCCGGUAAAUCAAAGUAAGUCUUUUCUUUUCAUACUUUCCCAUAAGACAUGUCUCUAUCCACCAUCAAUCUUUCCGGAAUCAAACACCUGUGUUGGAUGGAACAUUUCACUUGAAUAGGACAUCCGUACCAUUCAACAUCAAACUUCAAGAAAAGAAUAGAUUAUUCCCUCUAGACUAAGGCGAAGCGAUUGGUAGGAAACUGGCAAGGCGUUGAAAAAUUUUAAUAGUCGGGCGGCUUCUUGACAGCAUCCCAAGGAGCAAAACACCUCGAGUAAGUGACGCUUUUUGAGAAAGCCCGACUUCCCAGUACUAGUAAGUUAGGAGAUAAGCAUCUUGAAAUUAUUUGUGUCACUUCUAUAACGCUAUUUUGUAAAAGAUUUUGGGACAUUCUUUAUGUCUAAGGGUUGAUCCUCCUUUUCUCCCACCAGCAGCAGCCUCAGAAAAACCAUAUCCUACAUGUUAUUUGCGAUUUUAGUCAUGAUGUUGUAUUACCUAAUCUAAUGAAAAAAGAACCCUAUGUUUCAAAUUAAGCUUCUACCAAAACUGCUUAUCGGAAUGGGAAAGGCCCGACUCUGAAAAUAGACUAUCCAGCUCUAUUAAUAUUUUCAAGGAAGUUUCACUGUCAAUCGUUUUUAUGAUCCAAAAGGCUUGUCCAUCCUAACACAGCUACGGGUCGAACUCAGUAAGCUAAAUGUUCAUCAAUUCAAACAUAAUUUUAGGGAUACUUUGAACCCUUUAUGCCAAACAAAUCGAAGCACUAUUUUCUGCGCUGCCAUACUUAUGAUGUAAAUAGAAGUGAUCUUCUCAACAGUGUACAUGCAAUAUUUUUGCCUCGUGGUUUGUUAAAAGUCAUCCAAUAUGGCCUUGAACAUCCAGGCCUCCGAAGGAUUCGAAUAAUGCAGGAACAAAAAUCUUUAAAUCUCCAUUCGUUUUUUAACAUUGUUGUUUGUGCUAGGAGGCUCUUGUUAUGUAGUAUAGCAGUUUCCAUUCAGUAAAGUUUUCGGUAGUCUCGUUUGUAACUUUUUAUAUCGAAUAAAAAAAACUUUUCAGCAUACUCUCUAUUGGAAAAGCAAAAACCUCGGUUUGCAUUUUGAUAUUAAAUUUCAAGCCGAACAAUUAUUAGACAAGAGGGGCAAUCAACAGGGCCUUGAGCACUUCAUUAGAUGCAGCUAGAGGUAGAGAACUUUAGCAACCUCCCUUCCUGAAAAGCUAGGGACCUCCCUUUCAUGUCAAAGGCCAUCUUUGUUGUUGGGAAGCAGCAGUGGAGACAUUUUCUUACAGAAGCGAGAAAAUUGUACUUCAGAGUGAGUGAAACUUGUGAGAUGUUAGAUGAUUGCCAGAGAUUCAUAUUUUUUCAAGGACCUCUUGAGAAUGUUAGCUGUCGUCCUAAUUUCCACUUGUGUAGUGAGCUCAAGAUGACUCGAAAUGACAUUUGAUUAUGACAUUUGAUUAAACAGGUAUUUUCCUUUAACCCCAGUUUAAAUUAAAUAUGGUAGACAUGAUUUCAAACAUAAUCUGUCUUUUCUAGCUCAAGGAACAUUAAAUUAUUGAGCAUAUUUCAUUAUUUCAUGAUUUCACCACACUAAAAAGACUUGUUUGAAAUUGUAGACACAGACUGAAUCUCAAUCUACCUAGCUGUUGCUGUGUGCCUAAUCUAGAAUUAUGGUCAACCAAUAUUGUGACACAGACUGAAUCUCAAUCUACCUAGCUGUUGCUGUGUGCCUAAUCUAGAAUUAUGGUCAACCAAUAUUGUGACACAGACUGAAUCUCAAUCUACCUAGCUGUUGCUGUGUGCCUAAUCUAGAUUUAUGAUCAACCGAUAUUGUGCUUUCCACUUGGCUGUCAGUAAAGAGCUUCUUCUCUUGGAAAAUCUUUUCCAGUUCUUUGGAGUCAGACUUUGUCUUCAGAAGCCACUGCUCCAGGAUAUCUAGCGGAUAGUUUAACAGUUUACACACGGCAAGCACCCG
Rhopilema esculentum is the source of this 5876-nucleotide non-coding RNA. Lineage: Eukaryota; Metazoa; Cnidaria; Scyphozoa; Rhizostomeae; Rhizostomatidae. The record is from RefSeq and is a predicted model, not a curated record.